RNAcentral lists this ribosomal RNA (385 nucleotides) under uncultured bacterium. Its description in RNAcentral is "bacterial SSU rRNA". It matches the Rfam family "Bacterial small subunit ribosomal RNA", at positions 28 to 415 of the family's 1533-position model. The record is from RNAcentral.
AUUGAACGCUGGCGGCAUGCUUUACACAUGCAAGUCGAACGGCAGCGGGGGCUUCGGCCCGCCGGCGAGUGGCGAACGGGUGAGUAAUGCAUCGGAACGUGCCCAGUCGUGGGGGAUAACACAUCGAAAGAUGUGCUAAUACCGCAUACGUCCUGAGGGAGAAAGCGGGGGAUCUUCGGACCUCGCGCGAUUGGAGCGGCCGAUGUCGGAUUAGCUAGUUGGUGGGGUAAAAGCCCACCAAGGCGACGAUCCGUAGCGGGUCUGAGAGGAUGAUCCGCCACACUGGGACUGAGACACGGCCCAGACUCCUACGGGAGGCAGCAGUGGGGAAUUUUGGACAAUGGGGGCAACCCUGAUCCGGCCAUGCCGCGUGAGUGAAGAAGGC